Molecule: long non-coding RNA, 633 nt
Filed under: Zonotrichia albicollis (white-throated sparrow)
Lineage: Eukaryota; Metazoa; Chordata; Aves; Passeriformes; Passerellidae
Description: lncRNA (ENSZALG00000008053.1)
Source: RNAcentral
AUGAUUCUUAAGAGCAUCAAAUCCUUGUUUAGAGCAUCAAAUCUUUCUUCAGAGCAUCAAACCCUUCUUUAUAGCAUCAAACCCUUCUUUAUAGCAUCAAAUUCCUUCUUUAGAGCAUCAAAUUCCUUCUUUAGAGCAUCAAAAUCAAUCUUCAGAGCAUCAGCCCCUCUUGCUGAGCUUGCCAGGGCCCGGCCCCUGCCCGGUGUCGCUGUCCCUGGGCUGUCUGAGGGCCUGGAUGUGCUGACAGGGUGGUGCUGCCUCACUGAUCCCUGGGAUCUUUGCAGAUUAAAUGAUUCUGGGAUUGUUCUGGUUUGUGACAUCCCACCUGCAGCACUGAUCACACAAGGAUUCCACGUCCAUUUUGCUGGAAAGAAAUCUGUCCCAAAAAUAAAUCUGGUGGCCUCCAACACCAUGACACUUUGCUCAGCCUCUCACACUGUGGGCUGUCAUUGCAGGGAGCAGCAAAAUCCUCUUUUCCACCAGGAAAAACCCCAGAUUCAGAGAGGAUGGAAUGUUUGGCACAGUUCAGCUCCUCUGCUGUGACCAAGCACAAACCAAACUGCAGGGCCACCAACCCAGGGCCUUUGGUGACCUGGUGGGUGCAGUGAAAUAAAAUGACAACAAACAAAUACA